RNAcentral lists this ribosomal RNA (593 nucleotides) under Klebsiella sp. Its description in RNAcentral is "bacterial SSU rRNA". It matches the Rfam family "Bacterial small subunit ribosomal RNA", at positions 31 to 615 of the family's 1533-position model. Lineage: Bacteria; Pseudomonadati; Pseudomonadota; Gammaproteobacteria; Enterobacterales; Enterobacteriaceae. The record is from RNAcentral.
GGGCGGGUGGCCGCAGGCCUAACACAUGCAAGUCGAGCGGUAGCACAGAGAGCUUGCUCUCGGGUGACGAGCGGCGGACGGGUGAGUAAUGUCUGGGAAACUGCCUGAUGGAGGGGGAUAACUACUGGAAACGGUAGCUAAUACCGCAUAACGUCGCAAGACCAAAGUGGGGGACCUUCGGGCCUCAUGCCAUCAGAUGUGCCCAGAUGGGAUUAGCUAGUAGGUGGGGUAAUGGCUCACCUAGGCGACGAUCCCUAGCUGGUCUGAGAGGAUGACCAGCCACACUGGAACUGAGACACGGUCCAGACUCCUACGGGAGGCAGCAGUGCGGAAUAUUGCACAAUGGGCGCAAGCCUGAUGCAGCCAUGCCGCGUGUAUGAAAAAGGCCUUCGGGUUGUAAAGUACUUUCAGCGAGGAGGAAGGCAUUAAGGUUAAUAACCUUAGUGAUUGACGUUACUCGCAGAAGAAGGACCGGCUAACUCCGUGCCAGCAGCCGCGGUAAUACGGAGGGUGCAAGCGUUAAUCGGAAUUACUGGGCGAAAAGCGCACGCAGGCGGUCUGUUAUGCCCCCCUUCAUUUGGUAGGCGGAAGCA